RNAcentral lists this ribosomal RNA (419 nucleotides) under bacterium. Its description in RNAcentral is "partial 16S ribosomal RNA". It matches the Rfam family "Bacterial small subunit ribosomal RNA", at positions 355 to 776 of the family's 1533-position model. The record is from RNAcentral.
UGGGGGAUAUUGCACAAUGGGCGAAAGCCUGAUGCAGCGACGCCGCGUGGGGGAUGAAGGCCUUCGGGUUGUAAACUUCUUUUGCUCUGAACAAGGCGCACCAUGGGGUGUGUUGAGUGUAGGGGUUGAUUAGCGCCGGCUAACUACGUGCCAGCAGCCGCGGUAAUACGUAGGGCGCGAGCGUUGUCCGGAAUUAUUGGGCGUAAAGGGCUUGUAGGUGGCUGGUUGCGUCUGUCGUGAAAGCUCAUGGCUUAACUGUGGGUUUGCGGUGGGUACGGGCUGGCUUGAGUGCAGUAGGGGAGGAUGGAAUUCCUGGUGUAGCGGUGGAAUGCGCAGAUAUCAGGAGGAAUACCGGUGGCGAAGGCGGGUCUCUGGGCUGUUACUGACACUGAGGAGCGAAAGCAUGGGGAGCGAACAGG